AGACACCUAAUAUUUAUAGGUCCAACAAAGACCUUUUGGAAAAGGUUUCAUUUCCUUUUAAUGAAGAUGCUCUUUGAACUCAUUUGAGAAAUUACUCAUUUGACAAUACUUGAACUUGUACUGCUGACAUUCUGUUGUCUAAGUAGUAUUUAAACAUGGAGCAGGACAAUGUUUCACCACUGCAGCACUUUGUGGUGGCAAAGAGGACAAUCAGUGCUGUGUUUCACCAGCUGUUGGAGUUUGUUAGAGAUUGUUCAGAUUUUGUAGAAGAGACGUGGAAGAGUGAGGAUCUUGAGCAUGUAGCACAGGAAAAACAGUGUCUGCAGAUCCAGGUCUGCUCCAGGAAACUAACCGCCAUCAAAGAUGUGCUAGCCCGCAGACAUAUGAAGGUGGCCUUCUUUGGCAGGACCAGUAAUGGAAAGAGUACAGUAAUUAAUGCCAUGCUAAGGGAACGGGUUCUGCCCAGUGGAAUCGGCCACACCACUAAUUGUUUCCUGAGUGUGGAGGGCACAGAUGGGGAACAUGCCUACCUUACCACUGAGGACUCUGAAGAGAGUAAAAGCAUUGAAACAGUCAAUCAGCUUGCCCACGCUCUACAUAUGGACAGGAACCAAGACUCAGGCUGUCUGGUCCGAGUGUUUUGGCCCAAAGCUAAGUGUGCCCUGCUGAGAGAUGAUCUGGUCCUGAUGGACAGCCCAGGUACAGAUGUCACAUCAGAGCUGGACAGCUGGAUUGAUAAGUUUUGUUUAGAUGCUGAUGUCUUUGUGCUUGUGGCCAACUCUGAGUCUACUAUAAUGAAUACUGAGAAACACUUUUUCCACAAAGUGAAUGAACGCAUAUCAAAGCCCAACAUUUUCAUCCUGAAUAAUCGGUGGGAUGCGUCUGUCUUAGAGCCAGAGUAUCUGGAAGAUGUGCGGAAACAGCACAUGGAUCGCUGUGUCAGUUUCUUAGUGGAGGAGCUAAAGGUAGUGGACCUAAACAAGGCACCUGAACGCAUCUUCUUUGUCUCUGCCAAGGAGGUGUUGAGUGCCAGGAUCCACCGUGCCCAGGAAAUGCCAGAGACUGGCGAUGCUUUGGCUGAAGGAUUCCAAGAGCGACUGAUGGAGUUCCAGAGUUUCGAAAGAACAUUCGAGGAAUUUAUAUCACAGUCUGCCGUGAAAACCAAGUUUGAGCAGCACACAAUUAGAGCCUGGCAGAUCACUGAGUCAGUCAAGGCUAUCAUGGAUGCCAUCAAUAUUUCUUCAGCAGAAAAGAAAGUGUUCUCACUAGAAGAGCGCGAGGCUCUAAUGGAUCGGCUGGAGUUUGUGCAAAAUCAGCUCAACUUCCUAACCGAGGACAUCAAAGACAAGAUAAAGGCCAUCACUGAGGAAAUGGCUGACAAGGUCUCCAAUGCCAUGGCAGAAGAGAUUUGUGGCCUGUCUGUUCUUGUGGAUGAAUUCUGCUCUGAUUUUAGCCCUGCCCCGAAUGCCUUAGCCCUGUACAAAUCUAAGCUCAUGGCCUAUGUGGAAGAGAGAAUGGUGAAGAAUUUGGACUUGCACUGUUCCAGCAGCAUAAAUGGCUAUGUGCUGUCAUCUCAGGGAGACAUCAUGGACACUCUACGUCCUCUGCUGCCCCCUGCUGCCCGAUGUCAACUACACCUCCCCAACAGGAAGUUCAGUAUUACUUAUGACCUGAACUUUGCCAGCCUCUGUGAAGAUUUUGUGGAGGACAUCAACUUUAAUUUCUCAUUGGGUCUUACAUUCUUGGUGAACCGUUUCCUAGGGCCUGGUAAAGCAAAACAAGCUUUGAGCCUGUUGGAACAAAAAUUGCAAGUCACCUCUUCCUCUGCUCCAUUGGGAACCCAGGCCCAGGAGGAGUUGGCUAUGUCCAUGGCAACAGGGUUGGUCUCUCUCACUUCCAGAGCAUCAGUUGGCAUGUUGGUCAUUGCUGGAGUGGUGUGGCGUUCUGUGGGAUGGAGGCUUAUUGUACUUUCUGUGAGUCUCUACAGUUUACUAUACCUGUAUGAAAGACUGACCUGGACAAACAGUGCUAAAGAGAGGGCACUGAAGCAACAGUUUGUGGACUUUGCCACUCAAAGACUGCAGGCCAUUUCACACAUUAUCAGCAGUGACUGUGGACAGCAGGGAGAUGGUGGCCGUCUUUGCCCGCAUGUGCCAACAGGUUGACAAGAGCGAGAUGGAGCUUGAAACAGAGAUCCGCAGACUCAGCGCCAGGAUUCAGCGCCUGGAGAGUGUCCAGAAACACUCCAAAACCCUCAGGCAUAAAGCCACUGAUCUGGAGUCACAACUGGAGUCUUUUUCAGCACAAUAUCUGCAGACUCAACAUUAACUAGAGCAGCAAGAAACUGGAAAUGAGUAAGACUGUCCUCCAGUGUUCAGUGCUGGAACAACCCAACAUCUGCUGAAGGAAACAUUACAUGGAAUGUGAAUGAUUUAUUUCAGUUCAAGAUGUCCAGAUUCCUCACUGACAACUAAUUGUAGCAAAGUAAUAAUGCAUAGACAAUCUCUUGAUGAAAAGAAUUUAUUGGUUACGACAACAAAUAGUAACAGGUUUUACUGCCACUGUACGAAUACAAACAAAUUCUGUAAAAAAACGAAAUAAAAAAAGAUUCCACAGCAAGAAAUCAUUGUUUUCUGAGCCAACAUAAAGCAAAUAAUACAAAUCUGUUGUCAAUAAAGCAUUUAAAGUGAAUUAAGAGGAAUGUAUGUUAGAAUCAAGAGGCAGUUAUGUCUGCUGGUUUUGUCCAUGACAUAUACACACACACCAGGGAGGGGCAACUAAUUACCGUAUAAGUGAAUUAAAAUCAAAAUCAUCUGAUUUUAAAUCAAAUAGUUACAGCAUAUGCAGGACCAUCCAAAUAUCUUGUCCAUUACAUCAGCAAGGAUCGUUUAUUUUGCACCCAUUAGGAAGUAGAUCUAUCGCUAUAUAAAAUACAUCAAAACCACUAUGAAUCAAGCACGCUUGCUUUUUGGUAAACCACAAUUUGUUUGAGGGUUGGUGACAGUUAAUAUGGUGUUGUUAAUAUGAUUAAAAGAUUGCACUUCAGUUAUUUGUGUCCUGUAUGUUUAUAAAUGAAAAAGUUUCUGUAGCAAGUGAAAGCAAAGCUAAACAACCCUUCAAUGUGAUACAUUGAAUCUAACUUAAUCUGUGAUCACGCUACAGCCAAUGCUGCUUUUACUUCUUUAUUCACUUUCAUUUUUAGAGUUGAAGGCAGGGUAUUUCUUUGUAGUAUUGUUAUCCAUUUUAGACAUGAACUGCUGCCAGUCUGCCUUGGGGUUUCAGUGCUGUAAUUUCAAUGCUUGUCAGCAUAACCACCUCUGUAAAAACAACCUUGGUUAAAUUCAAAUUCAGAAAAACUAAGCUGUCACUGCCUUUAGCAAGAAGGCCAGCACGUGGAAAGCAAAUGUUGUAAGGGAAUACUUAAAAAAAUACAAACAUUUAAGCCUCACAUCAUAAGUUAUGUGCCGAGUGCCUACUUUAAAUGAAAGAAAAAGUGAUUGCAAAGAUCUGGAUAAUAUAAGCUGCAUCAUUUAAUACGAUAGUUCUAACACAAUCAUUUUCACAUUUGGAAACUACCUGCAUGCCGAUUUAAUUGUCAAGUUCUAACUUAAUAAAGGUCAUGCAUGAUUUUUUAUACCGUUAAGGUUUUUGUAAACUUAAGCAAGCUGCCCCCCACCUCCCCCUCAGAGUCAAUGGAUUAUGGUAUUGCUAGCACAGUAUUUGAUCUUAUCCAUAGGAUAAGGCUCAGUAAGCUAGCUGUAAUAUCCAUAGGAUAUUAUGUUGCCUGCUCCCUACGAUCAUGUUCAUGUACUUUAUGGACUAACUGGCAAGUUCAGGUUGAACUUCAAAUCUAAUGAAUGUUCUGGAUUCAAUAUGAGCUAAGGUCAAUCGUAUUAGUCUUCACAAACACACAAAAAGCAACAAUCAUGGAUAAAUGAAGACACUUAGAACAAAACCAAUAAACACAAAAAAAUACCAUUCAAAAGUAUAGCAACUAAAGUUGCAGACUGUGUUAACAUGAAACUAAAGUCAUAGCAAUAUUAUGAUGUUGGUGAUGACAAUUUACAAAACCCAAAUAAUACAAAUAUAACUGCCAAAUUUACAUGUGCACACAUGCUGUUCACCAUUUAUUUUAAUUGCAGGUGCCUCAUUUUCCCAGAAUAAAAAGGCAUAAGUUAAUUUACUUGUAAGUGUACUGUACAUUGUUGAUUGUUUUGAACUUGUAUUGAGAAGGAACAUUUCAAGUCAAUUAAACGACUACAAAGGCUAUACCUUGAGGACAAUUGGAUGUCAUAUGAAUUAUGUUGGUUUUACUUAAUAAAUUCAGGUUAAAACCCUUUUUGCCUUCAUUGCACUAUGCAAAGUUCUUCGUGUACCUUAAUUAUCUAAAUAAUA
This is an RNA transcript of Carassius carassius (crucian carp), 4395 nucleotides long. It is a transcript of the gene named mitofusin 1a, with no coding region annotated. The record is from RefSeq and is a predicted model, not a curated record. Lineage: Eukaryota; Metazoa; Chordata; Actinopteri; Cypriniformes; Cyprinidae. The transcript is spliced from 18 exons.